This 77-nucleotide transfer RNA is filed under the name Helicobacter sp. RNAcentral's name for it is "tRNA-His". It matches the Rfam family "tRNA". From Rfam's summary of the family: Transfer RNA (tRNA) molecules are approximately 80 nucleotides in length. Their secondary structure includes four short double-helical elements and three loops (D, anti-codon, and T loops). Lineage: Bacteria; Pseudomonadati; Campylobacterota; Epsilonproteobacteria; Campylobacterales; Helicobacteraceae. The record is from RNAcentral.
GUGGGCGUAGCUCAGUUGGUUAGAGCAUCAGUUUGUGGCACUGAGGGUCGUGGGUUCGAUCCCCAUCGCCCACCCCA